RNAcentral lists this ribosomal RNA (252 nucleotides) under uncultured bacterium. RNAcentral's name for it is "partial 16S ribosomal RNA". It matches the Rfam family "Bacterial small subunit ribosomal RNA", at positions 524 to 776 of the family's 1533-position model. The record is from RNAcentral.
UACGAAGGGGGCUAGCGUUGUUCGGAAUUACUGGGCGUAAAGCGCGUGUAGGCGGGUCUUAAGUCAGGGGUGAAAUGCCAGGGCUCAACCUUGGAACUGCCUUUGAUACUGGGUAUCUUGAGUAUGGAAGAGGUAAGUGGAAUUGCGAGUGUAGAGGUGAAAUUCGUAGAUAUUCGCAGGAACACCAGUGGCGAAGGCGGCUCACUGGCCCGAUACUGACGCUGAGGUGCGAAAGCGUGGGGAGCAAACAGG